This 754-nucleotide ribosomal RNA is filed under the name Bacillus safensis. RNAcentral describes it as "bacterial SSU rRNA". It matches the Rfam family "Bacterial small subunit ribosomal RNA", at positions 35 to 772 of the family's 1533-position model. The record is from RNAcentral. Lineage: Bacteria; Bacillati; Bacillota; Bacilli; Caryophanales; Bacillaceae.
GCUGGCGGCGUGCCUAAUACAUGCAAGUCGAGCGAACAGAAGGGAGCUUGCUCCCGGAUGUUAGCGGCGGACGGGUGAGUAACACGUGGGUAACCUGCCUGUAAGACUGGGAUAACUCCGGGAAACCGGAGCUAAUACCGGAUAGUUCCUUGAACCGCAUGGUUCAAGGAUGAAAGACGGUUUCGGCUGUCACUUACAGAUGGACCCGCGGCGCAUUAGCUAGUUGGUGGGGUAAUGGCUCACCAAGGCGACGAUGCGUAGCCGACCUGAGAGGGUGAUCGGCCACACUGGGACUGAGACACGGCCCAGACUCCUACGGGAGGCAGCAGUAGGGAAUCUUCCGCAAUGGACGAAAGUCUGACGGAGCAACGCCGCGUGAGUGAUGAAGGUUUUCGGAUCGUAAAGCUCUGUUGUUAGGGAAGAACAAGUGCGAGAGUAACUGCUCGCACCUUGACGGUACCUAACCAGAAAGCCACGGCUAACUACGUGCCAGCAGCCGCGGUAAUACGUAGGUGGCAAGCGUUGUCCGGAAUUAUUGGGCGUAAAGGGCUCGCAGGCGGUUUCUUAAGUCUGAUGUGAAAGCCCCCGGCUCAACCGGGGAGGGUCAUUGGAAACUGGGAAACUUGAGUGCAGAAGAGGAGAGUGGAAUUCCACGUGUAGCGGUGAAAUGCGUAGAGAUGUGGAGGAACACCAGUGGCGAAGGCGACUCUCUGGUCUGUAACUGACGCUGAGGAGCGAAAGCGUGGGGAGCGAA